This is a long non-coding RNA of Varanus komodoensis (Komodo dragon), 772 nucleotides long. RefSeq lists it as uncharacterized. The record is from RefSeq and is a predicted model, not a curated record. Lineage: Eukaryota; Metazoa; Chordata; Lepidosauria; Squamata; Varanidae. The transcript is spliced from 3 exons.
UUAACAUUCAGAAGAGAGCUGAUGUUUUGAACAAACAAGAGGCUGCUUCAGGCUCCGAUUAAUGAUUCUGGGGCUCAUGAGUCAUUGUGCUCAAGUCGUGGCGAUGGAUGCUUCUACUCUGCCUUGCAGGAGGGAAUCAGAGGCUGCACUCUGACCUGACAUGCACACAGUUCAAGUGCCUCUUUCUUGCCAGGGCAGCCUUAUCAGAUCGAAGGCUGAGCAGCAAAACCCACCGCUGACAACAUUCUCCAGCCUUCAUAUCGGUGUGCUGUCAAAAUUGCUGUAACAAAAGCUACUGAGAUGGACAAGAAAUACUGCUGUUAGAAGCCUGAAACACUCUUGGGUGUUCAUGUUCCGCUAGACAAGUUUGAAAAAGGUGGGGUGAAGGAGCACUGCGAACAGAGGAAAUAUUUGCACCUCGGGAGGUUGCAUGGAGAGAAAGAAGGAAUCGAGUGCACAAAAGAGGGCUUUGUAUUUAGCUUCUAGGACUGGGUCUGUGCAAUUUGAUUGCAACGCUGGAUCUGAAAGCAGGUGCAUAGUACCUAAGAAAUUGCUUAAUACUGUCAAGCAUGAUAGCACCAGUCACCUCUUUGGAGUGGUAAGUCUGAACUGAAGCACUUUUUACACCCUGGUGGUCAUAGCUGUCCUGGAUGCCAUCCAAAACGUGAUUGCUCAUAAGUCAUGGGAACAUAGCUAGUCUGCAAUGAGCAAAUGGGUUCAGAUUGGUUGAGAAACAAGCAGGGGCCAAGGUGACAUUGCAGGUGUCCUAAAA